AGAGAGAGAGAGAGAGAGAGAGAGCUUUUCACACAUACGGUGCUGUAGAAAAAGUGCUAUAUUCCUGCCUUGCGCAAUAAUUUCAGGUCUGAGAGCUGAACCCCCAGCGGACGCAUUGAUCCUUUUACAGGUAUGCUGUAGUCUGUGGGACGUGAAUUGGAGAGCCUUCGACACACAAGACGCGACAGUGUCACAGCGGCUUAAUCCUCAUUACAGACUAAUCAAAGGGAAUUCCUGGAAAGUGCAGCACUCAGGAUGUCUACAGGUUAUGACUAUCCGGACCAGAUCACAUUUAAAAAAAGCGGGAAAGGGGCGGUGUGAGAUUGUUUUUCCUCAAUCAAGUUUGAGCAGAUAUUUUGGAUGUAACCAGACAAGCGCUAAACACCAAAAUGCUGUGGAUGAGGACAGAAUUGCUGUUUUUCUUUGUAUUCCCACUGAAUGCAGCGCAGAACUCUGAAUUACCCGCAGUAAUGGACAGUGACAUGUUCACCGAAUUUGCAUACCAAACCUCAUCCUUGAGUCUGAUCCUGUUGGUUCUAACGGUUGGACUGUCUGGCAGUGUUUACCUCUGUGUGCUGCGCUACAUCUGCACCGGCUGCUGCCAGCCUGUAGUCGUUGGACCUGAGGAUGAGAGCAUAUCAGGAGUGGUGUGACUGCUGCUUUCCUUUCGUUUCUGUGUGUCUUUACUGAUGUGCAGGUUAGCUUGUGUAAUACAGCAUGAAGCCAUUCUUUUUCCUUUCAAGCAAUUGAGCUGAAAGCGACAUUCCACGUGUGUUAGUCACUCUGGAUAAAAGCGUCCGCUCACUGUAAGAUUUACAGUUCUAGAGCUCGACUGUAUAUCAAAAGCAUUCAUUUACUCUCUAUGAAGUCAUUUAGCUGUAUGGAUGACGCAAAUGUUGAGUGAAUGAGAGGGUGGCAUGAAUAAAUAUAGCAAGCAUUGAAUGCUCAUUCAGUCUAGAGAAAUCCAUAUGACAGAAUCGACUGUACCACUGUAUUUUGAAGAGCUUUUUUAUUAACAUAUUUAAUAGUUUAUUGGUCCAAAGAUUUGUGUUUUAUUUAUUUAAUUAAAUUUUUUCAUGAAGUACUCUAUAGAAUGAAGUGCUUCACUUUGUAUUCAUUUCAUUUAUCAGCUAAAUGUGAAGCAUCUUAUGCUAUCUUCACAUCAACAUCCUUCAUGUAAUUAAGUAGGAUGCUCCCCAGGGUCUUGAUCAGGCAGUUGCUGAAACUGUUGCCACGGGCUACUGCUAGAGUUGGUUGCCAUGGAAAUAGAUUCCUGCAUUCACCUCUAGAUGGGGCUGUUACAUAAGCCGUUCAGAUUCACAUACAUUUCUAAUUCAUGUUUGGCCACAGAAGAACAAUUUUUGCCUCUAAAAAAACAAACAAUCAUUGCUUAAAUGAAAUAAAAAAGUUAUUUGU
This is a non-coding RNA of Danio rerio (zebrafish), 1416 nucleotides long. The record is from RefSeq and is a predicted model, not a curated record. Lineage: Eukaryota; Metazoa; Chordata; Actinopteri; Cypriniformes; Danionidae.